Hydra vulgaris (swiftwater hydra) is the source of this 270-nucleotide long non-coding RNA. RefSeq lists it as uncharacterized. The record is from RefSeq and is a predicted model, not a curated record. NCBI's taxonomy places the organism in Eukaryota, Metazoa, Cnidaria, Hydrozoa, Anthoathecata, Hydridae.
GCAGUUGUUCCAUUUUGUUCGAAAAAAGAUGGAUGGUUAUUUUGGUCAACUUGUGUUCAUGCAAUGAAAGCUACCUAUAAUAAUUUUUCAAUCAUUGACUCAUGCAACAAACUUAGACUUAAAAGAGUUAAAGUAACUGGAGAUAAAGAAGUAUGUGCAGGAUUUAAUUUAACAACUAAAGAGGACUCCGAAGAAGAAUGUAAGUAAUUAUGUUUGUAAAUAAUUUUGUUUCUCUUCGGAUUUAACUUUUCUUCGUUUUUUAUAUAUUAA